RNAcentral lists this ribosomal RNA (253 nucleotides) under uncultured bacterium. Its description in RNAcentral is "partial 16S ribosomal RNA". It matches the Rfam family "Bacterial small subunit ribosomal RNA", at positions 524 to 776 of the family's 1533-position model. The record is from RNAcentral.
UACAGAGGUCUCAAGCGUUGUUCGGAUUCAUUGGGCGUAAAGGGUGCGUAGGUGGCAUGGUAAGUCGGAUGUGAAAUCCCGGGGCUCAACCCCGGAACUGCAUUCGAUACUGCUGCGCUAGAGUACUGGAGAGGAGAUUGGAAUUUACGGUGUAGCAGUGAAAUGCGUAGAUAUCGUAAGGAAGACCAGUGGCGAAGGCGGAUCUCUGGACAGUUACUGACGCUGAGGAGCGAAAGCGUGGGGAGCGAACAGG